AUUGAACGCUGGCGGCAGGCCUAACACAUGCAAGUCGAACGAGUGGCGGACGGGAGUGUAAUGUCUGGGAAACUGUCUGAUGGAGGGGGACAACUACUGGAAACGGUAUCUAAUACCGCAUACUAUCGUAUGUGCCCAUAUGGGAUUAGCUAGUAGGUGGGGUAACGUCUCACCUAGGCGACGAUCCCUAGCUGGUCUGAGAGGAUGACCAGCCACACUGGAACUGAGACACGGUCCAGACUCCUACGUGAGGCAGCAGUGGGGAAUAUUGCACAAUGGGCGCAAGCCUGAUGCAGCCAUGCCGCGUGUGUGAAGAAGGCCUUCGGGUUGUAAAGUACUUUCAGCGGGGAGGCGUUACCCGCAGAAGAAGCACCGGCUAACUCCGUGCCAGCAGCCGCGGUAAUAC
RNAcentral lists this ribosomal RNA (406 nucleotides) under uncultured bacterium. Its description in RNAcentral is "partial 16S ribosomal RNA". It matches the Rfam family "Bacterial small subunit ribosomal RNA", at positions 30 to 526 of the family's 1533-position model. The record is from RNAcentral.